UCUUAUCCAGAGAGGUGGAGGGACUGGCCCUGUGAAGCCUCGGCAACCGGUAUCUGGUGCCAAUUCCAGCAAAGCGCGCUCGCUUUGACAGAUAAGA
This 97-nucleotide non-coding RNA is filed under the name Brevibacillus massiliensis. RNAcentral's name for it is "SAM riboswitch (S box leader)". It matches the Rfam family "SAM riboswitch aptamer (S box leader)". Rfam says of the family: The SAM riboswitch is found upstream of a number of genes which code for proteins involved in methionine or cysteine biosynthesis in Gram-positive bacteria. The record is from RNAcentral. Lineage: Bacteria; Bacillati; Bacillota; Bacilli; Caryophanales; Paenibacillaceae.